GCGGUACCGGUUCACGUCACGACGGCCAGCCCCGACCGGGGCCCGGCUAGCGGCGACCCGGCGACC
This 66-nucleotide non-coding RNA is filed under the name unclassified sequences. Its description in RNAcentral is "L31-Actinobacteria ribosomal protein leader". It matches the Rfam family "L31-Actinobacteria ribosomal protein leader". The record is from RNAcentral.